CAGUCAUGCUGCUGAGACUCAACCUUAGGUUUUCCUUGGUGUACUUCUCAGUUGGCAGGCCAGCAUCAGUUUUGGCUGUUGGAUAAGGGUAGGAGGAAUGUGGCAUCCUCGGAUGUGUUAUAGCCUCUUACUGGAUACAACGGCUGGGACUGAGGAACGCAGUGUGCCUUCGGGCGGACCUUCGGGGUACCUUCACACCUUAGGAUGGCUGGCGUAAUGGCUUUAAGCGACCCGUCUUGAAACACGGACCAAGGACGUCUAACAUAUAU
This 269-nucleotide ribosomal RNA is filed under the name Diversispora epigaea. Lineage: Eukaryota; Fungi; Glomeromycota; Glomeromycetes; Diversisporales; Diversisporaceae. The record is from RNAcentral.